CCCUUAGACGUUCUGGGCCGCACGCGCGCUACACUGACGGAGCCAGCGAGUAUAAACCUUGGCCGAGAGGUCUGGGAAAUCUUGUGAAACUCCGUCGUGCUGGGGAUAGAGCAUUGUAAUUAUUGCUCUUCAACGAGGAAUUCCUAGUAAGCGCAAGUCAUCAGCUUGCGUUGAUUACGUCCCUGCCCUUUGUACGCACCGCCCGUCGCUACUACCGAUUGAAUGGCUUAGUGAGGCUUCCGGAUUGGUUUAGAGAAGGGGGCAACUCCAUCUUGGAACCGAGAAGCUAGUCAAACUUGGUCAUUUAGAGGAAGUAAAAGUCGUAACA
Molecule: ribosomal RNA, 328 nt
Filed under: uncultured eukaryote
Lineage: Eukaryota
Description: partial 18S ribosomal RNA
Rfam family: Eukaryotic small subunit ribosomal RNA
Source: RNAcentral